RNAcentral lists this long non-coding RNA (951 nucleotides) under Helianthus annuus (common sunflower). RNAcentral's name for it is "sRNA HanXRQr2_Chr14g0650171". Lineage: Eukaryota; Viridiplantae; Streptophyta; Magnoliopsida; Asterales; Asteraceae. The record is from RNAcentral.
UUCAAAACCAAGUGUUUAUAACAUAUCUAAGAACAAUAGCUGUUAACAUAGCUUCAACUUGUAAUAUCCUAUUGAGCAUAGUAUAUUUAUCCACCUUAUCUUUUUCUUUUUCAGCCGACGGCCCCGCAAUAAUUCUAUUCAACUUUUCUUCUUCUCCAUCCUUUCCCUCAACGAGCUCCUUGAUAAUCAAGUUUACCUUUUCAAUCUACGAAACAACCAAUAAAGAAAAUCCAAAAGUCAGAAUGAAAGAAAACUGAUAACGGGUCAAGUUGGUUGAGGAAGAACAAAACCUAAUCUUAGUUAUACACUUCUAGUUUGUAUAACGAGUUUAUCAAAUUCAUUAGCUUGCUCCUACAGGGACAAAAGGGAAUAAAGAUAAGUACAAAUUAUUCAGAUUUAUUUAAUUUAAGAACCCAGUCCAACUCAUAUAACAUACCCUAUUAUCAACUACAAUAUUUUUCUAUCAUUCAGCAUAGAAUAACAGAGUAGCACAUAUUGAAGUUUUCUCCAACUCUUUCUUCUUACAUGCCCAUUAUUAUAGUUACAACUAAUGUUUUAUUUCCUAAAUAUAAUUAGCAAAAUAAAUAAACCAACAUACCCGUUAUUUUAGUUAUAACUAAUGUUUUUUCCUAAACAUAAUUAGCAUAACUAAACUAACAUACCUGUAUUAUAGUUAUAACUGAUGCCAUAUUAUCAUUGGAGAGUUGAGACCAUUAAACAGGUAGUUUUUGGUCUUGUCUUCUAUCCUACCUAUGGACCACUAGCCAUAUAAGCACACUCUAUCUUCAGAGAUAGAUAAUCCCAUUCAUUUCUUGUUAGCAUAAUUUAAAAGGAUGGGGACUCUAUUAACAUAAUAUCAAGUGAAAAAUAGUCUUCAACAUCAUUAUUAGCUUGUAGAUGGGUGGGCUAGUUGAUGGCUUUAUAGAGACCCCAAUGGUAAGAACUUGGUGA